Molecule: long non-coding RNA, 623 nt
Filed under: Gossypium barbadense (sea-island cotton)
Lineage: Eukaryota; Viridiplantae; Streptophyta; Magnoliopsida; Malvales; Malvaceae
Description: long non-coding RNA (GBAR_LNC020985)
Source: RNAcentral
CAAAGAACUUGCCCUUAUGUUUACCAAACAUGCCAUGCUUCCACCGCUUCCCAAAUUUCCCGUGCUUAAAUUUCCCAUGUUUGAAUUUUCCGUGACCAUGGCCAUAGUAUCCCCCAUGUGCAACAUGAUGAGCUCCAUGUGACAAAUGGUGAGCCCCGUAAACAGCAGCAGCCGCAGCCCCAGCCCCGGCUAAUAAUCCUCCCAUCCCAGGUCCAUGCAAACCGUGUCCUGUAAAAUUUUACCAUUCAUGUCAACUCAUUGAUAUACGAGGCAAAUGAAACAGCAGGCAUAGGACCCAUAAUGAAGGGUGAUGGAGCAUACCAGGAUAACCAGCUGGUGGAUAUCCACCAUGAGGUGGAUGAGGGUAUCCUCCAUGAGGAGGAUAUCCUGCAGGUGGGUAUCCGCCAUGAGGAGGAUAUCCCGCUGGUGGAGGAUAUCCAGCCGGUGGGUAUCCUUGUGGGGGAUAUCCUUGAGGAGGAUAUCCUUGUGGAGGGUAGGAUCCAGGCGGAGGAUAAUGUCCGGCGGCAUAGCCAGCAAGAUGAGAAAACAGCCCUUUGUCACUUGAUUCACCUUCCCUACCACCGCCCAUUUUUCUUCAACUUAAAAUUAACGAUUUCGAGUAA